GUAGGACUAGUAUAAGUGGUAGUAUACUAAAUUUCCAAUUUGGUGGUCUCUUAAGUGAGGUUUUAUA
Molecule: transfer RNA, 67 nt
Filed under: Sindiplozoon sp. DZ-2018
Lineage: Eukaryota; Metazoa; Platyhelminthes; Monogenea; Mazocraeidea; Diplozoidae
Description: tRNA-Gly
Source: RNAcentral